This is a long non-coding RNA of Oncorhynchus kisutch (coho salmon), 961 nucleotides long. RefSeq lists it as uncharacterized. The transcript has 2 exons. NCBI's taxonomy places the organism in Eukaryota, Metazoa, Chordata, Actinopteri, Salmoniformes, Salmonidae. The record is from RefSeq and is a predicted model, not a curated record.
CUCCUUCUCGUCCAGAAGGCGGGGGGCGUGGAAGUCAGCCUCCUUCCGGAUAAGCUGGGGAGCACAUACAAGAGGGAGAGAGGAGCCUGUGAAUCAGCCUUCCUGGUGGAGAUGCUCCUCCUAACCAGGGGUGGGCAGCUCAUUCCAGAUGGCAGGAUCAUGUGGCUCUGAGGACCGCGGUCUAAACCAUCCCUCUGGGGUGGUGGACCAUGGCCGAGCGGAGCCAUCAUCUUCUUGGGCGGACCGGCCAUGGAGCUGGCCUGCAUCAGGGCCAUACUGGAGAGGACAGCCUCACAGCCAAGCAACCCCGCCUAGGAACAGAACCGAGCCCGAGUCAGGGAAAUCCAGUACCAAUCAGACAUUUAGAAAAUAUAUAAAACAGAACCAGUCUGGGUGUAGAGGAGCUAAACAAAUGAGAAGACAAACACUCAGACUGUCAGAGGCCAAGUUACAGUUACACCAGAAACAGUAUGAAACCCAAUGAUAAAAAUUAAAAUCAAGCACUUUACAUUUUAUGACGACCACAUCCUGAGUGACAAAAGAUACUGUAUAAUGUUGCCUAAUAGUAGGCAUGUUGUUUGUAGCCAUUUUAUCAUUUUUUUGUUGGAAAACAAACCCAUUUCAUAUGGUCGCGGACUGAGCUGCUGGGCAGGUGUGACAUUGCAGUGGGAACGGUGUAUGUGAGGGCGGGGAUGGGGGCGGGGACAAGGUCAUCCAGGGAUCCGUCAAUCAGGAUGGUCAGUCUGACGGGGGGCCACACCCACCACACUCAUCUAGCACUAAAACUGAGGAAGAGGAGGAUGUGGACAAUACAUAAAAAUACAUUCAAUAAUAAUGAAAUGAUUUUUAAAAACAAUAAAACCAGCAAUGAGUCACAGAUUGUAACUGCACCAACCACACAAAACCCAAUUAUAACUCAAAAACUAGCAUCUCCAUAAUAAACUGUAAGUCAUUUGGUUUA